Molecule: RNA transcript, 1379 nt
Organism: Solanum pennellii
Lineage: Eukaryota; Viridiplantae; Streptophyta; Magnoliopsida; Solanales; Solanaceae
Gene name: protein PTST, chloroplastic
Exons: 10
Source: RefSeq, a predicted model, not a curated record
UAUUUUUUUUUUGCAUUUUUAACACUUUAUAUGAAAAGCUCACCUUUUACUAAAGAUUACAAAAUUGGUAUGCUGGUCUCUCCCACAUAGGAGUUGCCCUCCCCUGCAAUUGCUAUUUCGAGUUUCAUCAGCUAGGAAGGAAUUCUUUAAUUAUGGACUGUAACCUGCUUAAUUCACUUGGGCAAACCUGUUUUCCUAGGUUCAAGGUGGAAAAUAUCGAUGGAGUUAGAGGAAAUAUGACUUCAUAUAAAUCAAGAAUAGGUUUCUGUAGGGUGCAUACAUUAUUUUCAGUCCCUAAUUGGAAACUCAGCAUCCCAUGUACUUCUUGGAAAAUAUUUUGUGCCCCUGAAAAUUUGGAGGAGCGAUCUUCACUGGUAGUAUCCGAGAAAAUAGAAGACGCUGGUCUGUCUGUUCCUGAGCAACCUUUGAGAACCGAAGAGUUGAAGUUAUUGCUUGCUGAUGCUGAAAGAUCGAAGCUUCUCAAGAAAUUGAGUGAAGCCAACCGAUAUAAUCGGUUGCUUAAGCGAGAGUUGCAAGCUAAGGAGGAUGCGAUGGUUAAUUUCAAAAGUGAACUUUCAGUCACCGAACUUGAGAUUCAGGCUUUGGCUAGAUUGGCUGAAGAAAUUGCAAAAUCUGCUAUCCCUGCUGGUUCAAGAAAAAUUAAAGGCAGAUAUAUCCAGUCACACCUAUUUUCACGUUUGGAAGCCAUAAGUGAAAAAUUGAAGGAGCAAAUAAAGGGUGUGGAAGCUGUACAAGCCAAAGAGGUUCCUUUAUCCUGGGUUGGGGUAGCAGAGAGUGUGCAAGUAAUGGGCUCCUUUGAUGGUUGGAGUCAAGGAGAGCACUUAUCUCCAGAGUACACCGGCUCUUAUAUGAACUUUUCAGCUACAUUGUUCCUAAGACCUGGAAGGUACGAAAUUAAGUUCUUGGUAGAUGAUGAGUGGAAACUAUCCCCAGAAUUACCAACUACCGGAGAGGGGUUAACUAAGAACAAUUUAUUGGUCGUGGAAUAGCUCAUUUAGCUAGGACAGGUGCUGAAAGUUUGUACUAUACGUGGAAAAACAACUUGUUAAUCGUCUUACAGUUGAUCUCAGGACUCUUAAGCAGUGUAGCUCAUGAGGUGGGAUUGCUCAAGACAUCUAAUUCGCUCGACCUACUAUUAACUCAAAGUGUUGAAGGUAUAUAUAAUAGACCAGAGCUCCUAAAGUGGUGGUAUAAAGGGCGAUCAAGACUUCCGUUUUUCUCUUAUAAAGUCUUGAGUUGAAUGUUCAGACUCUUUCGAAAAUGUUUGGAAGCUUUUGGUAAAAAGGUUUAUUUUUUAAAAAAAGUGAGGUAUUUGGCUGAGCUUUUGAAGGAAAUAAAAAGUUUAGUUUUCCCUUUUA